RNAcentral lists this ribosomal RNA (497 nucleotides) under uncultured bacterium. RNAcentral's name for it is "partial 16S ribosomal RNA". It matches the Rfam family "Bacterial small subunit ribosomal RNA", at positions 28 to 507 of the family's 1533-position model. The record is from RNAcentral.
GACGAACGCUGGCGGCGUGCCUAGUACAUGCAAGUAGAACGCUGAAACUUGGUGCUUGCACCGAGCGGAUGAGUUGCGAACGGGUGAGUAACGCGUAGGUAACCUGCCUGGUAGCGGGGGAUAACUAUUGGAAACGAUAGCUAAUACCGCAUAAGAGUAGAUGUUGCAUGACAUUUGCUUAAAAGGUGCAAUUGCACCACUACCAGAUGGACCUGCGUUGUAUUAGCUAGUUGGUGGGGUAACGGCUCACCAAGGCGACGAUACAUAGCCGACCUGAGAGGGUGAUCGGCCACACUGGGACUGAGACACGGCCCAGACUCCUACGGGAGGCAGCAGUAGGGAAUCUUCGGCAAUGGACGGAAGUCUGACCGAGCAACGCCGCGUGAGUGAAGAAGGUUGUCGGAUCGUAAAGCUCGGUUGUAAGAGAAGAACGAGUGUGAGAGUGGAAAGUUCACACUGUGACGGUAGCUGACCAGAAAGGGACGGCUAACUACGUG